UCUCCGUCUACACGGGCUGGAGGUGGGCGACCUGCGGGGUGAGCUCCAGGAGGCUACUCGGGAAGGUCUCGGUGCCCCUGGACCUCGCCGGGGCCGAGUUCGACGCCUGCGUGCUCCACAGCGGAGUGAAAGGGAAGACCAGAGGGAAGAAGAAAAAGAAAUAAAGGAAAAAAGAAGAGAGGGGAGAGAGAGAGGGAAGAGAGAGAGGCGACAGAGGGGGCCAGUGUGGCUGUCAGAGGGUCUGACCCAGAAUGUCCAAACCUGCGGUAGAUUUAUUUAUAUUUGGUGCCCGUCUUUAUUGAGCCUUUUUGGGUUCCACCAGAUAUUUUCGUUGGCAGGGAAAGCCAGGAAAGGGCACCCUCAUAUCUUCGGGAAAAUAGAAGCCAAUCGGGUGCUCGGUGCUCGUCCCUGUUGACAACGGAAGGUGGAAAUUGGACUACUUCGUCUUUGCCAACCCCGGAAUCAAGGAGAGCAGCUGCAAAACUUGGUUCUUGAUUAAUUUCUUCACCUCGGCCUCCAGAAGUUGCUUAUUAUCUUACUCUUGAGUUGAAAGAAAGUCCAUGGCCGUCCUUGAAUUACUCUUACUGUGCUUGCGUGCUUUCCAAGUUCAAGAAAAAGAUAUUCUCAAUGCACCGAGAAUUAUUUCCUCCGCUUUCUGGAUUUCAUACCUGAUCCUCGUCAUCCCAGGCACUCCUGUCGGUGCACAGACAUAUGUUCACGAGCGGUGCGCAGAUAGGGGCGACUACGCUGCUCCUAGCAAGUUUCAGGAAAACCUCAGCAGCCUCCUCUCCAGGGGCAACUCCGCUGAUUACAGCAAAGGACCCAUUCGCAGUUUCUACAACACAACGGAAGGUGAAGAUCCGGACAAAGUUUAUGGUCUCUUCCUCUGCAGAUGGGAUGUUGCUGCCGAUCUCUGUCAGUCCUGCAUCAUUUAGCUACCAGCACCAUCAUAGAAAGAUGUCCAGGACAGAAAGAGGCGAUCAUAUGGUACGACGAGUGUCUCAUGCGCUACUCUAACAGAUCGUUCUUCUCUAUGAUGGAGACAACACCGGUUAAAUUUAUUGUCAACCCUGCGGGCAUUUCAGCUACCUUCAACAGGAUUGUGGAGCAAACUUUUGAUAACGAGGACUUUGCAGCGAAAGUGACAGAUUUGGCUAGGAAUAUCACGGACUUGGAAAUUUCCUCAGAAAGAUUAUACGCGACCAAAGACAUUAAUGUCUCAAGUUCAGUGACCCUGCAUGAGCUUGCACAGUGCACCCCUGACAUAGCAAACUGGGCCUGUAAGAGUUGCUUGCUUUCGGCUAUCAAAGAGUUUCCUAUCGUUCUUAGUUAUAAAAGGGGAGGUGCGAGAAUUCUUCAGCCAAGUUGUAAUAUACGGUACCAAAUGACCUACGGUGGGGAACCUAACGGACAAGCACCAGCACCUUCUACAACAAACAAAACCAGCACUGAGUCCGGCAGUGAAGGGGUCAAACGAUAUCCACGGAUUGCAAUAGUUAGCUCAGUAAUUGGAGCGGGGUUACUAAUAAUCAUCAUGGGUUUGUGUAUAUUUUUAAAGAGGACAAAGAGAUGGAAGAAAGAGAAGGAAAACAGCCAAGAGGUUCAGUUACUUCAUCUAAGACGAGAAAUCGGAGAAGAGUUUUCAAAGGAAAGAACUCGAGGAGAAAAGCUGGUGGCUUCUCAAGAAUUAUCUCUCAUACAAUUAGACAUUAUACGUGCGGCCACACAAAACUUCUCCAAUGAAUGUAAACUUGGGGAAGGCGGGUUUGGCCCCGUGUACAGGGGCACAUUGGCAGAUGUAAAAGAAAUUGCAGUUAAAAGGCUUUCAAGAACCUCAGGCCAAGGACUUAUCGAGUUUAAGAACGAAGUGAUCUUGAUUGCUAGACUACAACACAGGAAUCUUGUUCGAUUAUUAGGAUGCUGCUUGGAAGAACACGAAAAACUCUUGAUAUAUGAAUACAUGCCCAACAAAAGCCUGGAUGUCUUCCUUUUUGAUUCAACUAUGGGGCAAUCUUUAGACUGGAAGAUGCGCAUGAACAUCACAUUUGGAAUAGCUCGGGGGCUUCUAUAUCUACAUGAGGAUUCUCGCCUAAGAAUUAUCCAUAGGGAUCUAAAAGCUAGUAAUAUUUUACUAGACGGCGAGAUGAAUCCAAAGAUAUCUGAUUUCGGAAUGGCAAGGAUCUUUGGUGUAAAUCAAGAUGAGGCCAACACAAAUAGGGUUGUUGGAACAUAUGGAUACAUGGCACCGGAAUAUGCGAUGCAAGGGCUAUUUUCUGUUAAAUCAGAUGUCUUCAGUUUUGGAGUUCUCUUGCUAGAGAUGAUCAGCGGAUGAAAGAACAACGGUUUUCAUCUCCAAGAGCAUGGUGAAAGCCUUCUCACCCUUGCAUGGAAGUUGUGGUCUGAUGGUCGAGGGUUGGAACUUAUUGAUCCAUCAAUCAAAGAGCCAUGUGAUGGAGUUCAAGUGGUAAAAUGCAUACAUAUCGGUCUAUUGUGCGUCCAAGAAGACCCAACAGAUCGACCAACCAUGUUGCUCGUGGUUCAUAUGCUAGGAGCCGAUACUAUCCCACUUACCCAACCAUCACUACCUGCAUUCUCAGUUGGGAGAGAUGUGAGAACACUCAAUCCUAUCGGUCUAAUUCACAAAACUUCCACUGUUAAUGAAGUAACCCUUUCAGAUGUAUCUCCUAGGUGACUAAGUAUCAUCAGCUCGUCUUCAAUUGAUUUCUCUUUUAUAAAAUGGAAAUGGUUUGCAAUUUAAUAAAAUAGAAUGAUAAUUAUAGUGUGAUCUCUUUAGCAUUGUGAAUGCCAUCUCUUAAUGACAAUCCAACCUGUCAUCAUUCCGUGUAUAAUACUAAAUACAAUUGAAUUAAUCACACUCGGUUCUUUUUAAUUACAA
RNA transcript from Eucalyptus grandis, 2896 nucleotides. It is a transcript of the gene named cysteine-rich receptor-like protein kinase 10, with no coding region annotated. The record is from RefSeq and is a predicted model, not a curated record. The transcript is spliced from 8 exons. Lineage: Eukaryota; Viridiplantae; Streptophyta; Magnoliopsida; Myrtales; Myrtaceae.